RNAcentral lists this ribosomal RNA (468 nucleotides) under uncultured bacterium. RNAcentral's name for it is "partial 16S ribosomal RNA". It matches the Rfam family "Bacterial small subunit ribosomal RNA", at positions 28 to 507 of the family's 1533-position model. The record is from RNAcentral.
GACGAACGCUGGCGGCGUGCUUAACACAUGCAAGUCGAACGGAAAGGCCCUGCUUUUGUGGGGUGCUCGAGUGGCGAACGGGUGAGUAACACGCGAGUAACCUGCCCUUGACUUUGGGAUAACUUCAGGAAACUGGGGCUAAUACCGGAUAGGAGCUCCUGCUGCAUGGUGGGGGUUGGAAAGUUUUGGCGGUUGGGGAUGGACUCGCGGCUUAUCAGCUUGUUGGUGGGGUAGUGGCUUACCAAGGCUUUGACGGGUAGCCGGCCUGAGAGGGUGACCGGCCACAUUGGGACUGAGAUACGGCCCAGACUCCUACGGGAGGCAGCAGUGGGGAAUAUUGCACAAUGGGCGGAAGCCUGAUGCAGCAACGCCGCGUGCGGGAUGACGGCCUUCGGGUUGUAAACCGCUUUCGCCUGUGACGAAGCGUGAGUGACGGUAAUGGGUAAAGAAGCACCGGCUAACUACGUG